GACGAACGCUGGCGGCGUGCUUAACACAUGCAAGUCGAACGGUGAAGCGCUUGCCUUUUUGGUGGGUGUGGAUGAGUGGCGAACGGGUGAGUAACACGUGAGUAACCUGCCCUCUUCUUCUGGAUAACCUCAUGAAAGUGGGGCUAAUACGGGGUAUUCCGGGUCUGUCGCAUGGCGGGUUUGGGAAAGAUUGCGCCUUUGGGUGUUUUCGGUGGGGGAUGGGCUCGCGGCCUAUCAGCUUGUUGGUGGGGGGAUGGCCUACCAAGGCGGUGACGGGUAGCCGGCCUGAGAGGGUGGACGGCCACACUGGGACUGAGACACGGCCCAGACUCCUGCGGGAGGCAGCAGUGGGGAAUAUUGCAUAAUGGGCGCAAGCCUGAUGCAGCGACGCCGCGUGAGGGAUGGAGGCCUUCGGGUUGUGAACCUCUUUCGCCAGUGAAGCAGGCCUGCUCCUGUGUGGGUGGGUUGACGGUAGCUGGAUAAGAAGCGCCGGCUAACUACGUG
Molecule: ribosomal RNA, 504 nt
Filed under: uncultured bacterium
Lineage: Bacteria
Description: partial 16S ribosomal RNA
Rfam family: Bacterial small subunit ribosomal RNA
Source: RNAcentral